GUGCUUGCUUCAGCAGCACAAAUACUAAAACUGAAAUGAUACAGAGAAGAUUAGCAUGGUCCCUUUGCAAAGAUGAUACACAAAUUUGUGAAAUGUUCCAUAUUUUA
This 107-nucleotide small nuclear RNA is filed under the name Phocoena sinus (vaquita). Lineage: Eukaryota; Metazoa; Chordata; Mammalia; Artiodactyla; Phocoenidae. The record is from RNAcentral.